Molecule: RNA transcript, 884 nt
Organism: Gossypium arboreum
Lineage: Eukaryota; Viridiplantae; Streptophyta; Magnoliopsida; Malvales; Malvaceae
Gene name: protein JASON-like
Exons: 2
Source: RefSeq, a predicted model, not a curated record
UAAAAAAGACGUUUUUAGAGGAAAUAAAUCAUAAUAAUAUUCCCUCAUUUUGUGGUAUUUCAAAUUUCAAAAAAUGACCCAACAACUCUCUCUUCUCCUUUUCUCUGUUAAAUCAUCGAAUCUAAAAAAUAAUCCAAAAAACCAAGAAUCCGAUAAAUGAAAUGGUAUGCGAUUUUUUGAAUCGAGAUUCAGGGUUAAGGAUAAUCUCGAGACCAGUGGCGAGGUUUCUUGAUUUGACGGUGUGUAGAGCCAUGGGAUGUUUCUUCCACUGUUUCGGCGUCAGAACCGAUCGUUCUCGCCCUCACCUCGUCAUUUCCUGUUCCAAAUCCACUGUAAGUUUUUUUGUUUGUUUGUGUUUUUGCACUUUAAUUUUCCAGUUUUCUUGUACUUGCGUUUGGUUUCUGGGAAAAUUCAGUUCAAGAAACAUUUUCUUUCCUAGUCUUUUUCUUUUUAUUUUUCUAAAGAGAAGACAAACUUGAAUAAAGCUAGCUUCGUUUAUUUUCAUUUUGGCUGAGCAGGAACGUACUGUUUCUCGAAAUAGAUUAUCGUCUCUUUUUGUUGAUGAAGAAAGGAGAUUCUCCAUCCAACGAUUUGGAGUCUCCACAAAUUAAUAAAGGUCUCAAGGAUGAGGUAUGUAAAUCGAGCUAUUCGAUUUAGAUUAGUUGCUUUCUAUGUGCAAUGCAAAUUACAAUUCAAAUUUCUUUUUCCUUGCCAUAGGCAAAGUUCUUUAAAUCUUGUGGCACUGUUGGGAUCAACCCGAUUAAACAACAAGUAAAAAAAAUAGAGGAAUAAAUUGAGAAAUUGAACACACAAAUUUAAUGUGGAAAAACUCUUCGAACGAGGAUAAAAAAUCACGAGUAAAGAUAAUUUUACUAUAAUGACAA